AGCGAACGCUGGCGGUAGGCCUAACACAUGCAAGUCGAACGGCAGCACAGGAGAGCUUGCUCUCUGGGUGGCGAGUGGCGGACGGGUGAGGAAUACAUCGGAAUCUACUCUGUCGUGGGGGAUAACGUAGGGAAACUUACGCUAAUACCGCAUACGACCUACGGGCGAAAGCAGGGGACCUUCGGGCCUUGCGCGAUUGAAUGAGCCGAUGUCGGAUUAGCUAGUUGGCGGGGUAAAGGCCCACCAAGGCGACGAUCCGUAGCUGGUCUGAGAGGAUGAUCAGCAACACUGGAACUGAGACAAGGUCCAGACUCCUACGGGAGGCAGCAGUGGGGAAUAUUGGACAAUGGGCGCAAGCCUGAUCCAGCCAUACCGCGUGGGUGAAGAAGGCCUUCGGGUUGUAAAGCCCUUUUGUUGGGAAAGAAAUCCAGCUGGCUAAUACCCGGUUGGGAUGACGGUACCCAAAGAAUAAGCACCGGCUAACUUCGUGCCAGCAGCCGCCGUAA
RNAcentral lists this ribosomal RNA (506 nucleotides) under uncultured bacterium. RNAcentral describes it as "partial 16S ribosomal RNA". It matches the Rfam family "Bacterial small subunit ribosomal RNA", at positions 29 to 523 of the family's 1533-position model. The record is from RNAcentral.